CCUACGGGUGGCAGCAGUGAGGAAUAUUGGUCAAUGGACGAGAGUCUGAACCAGCCAAGUAGCGUGAAGGAUGACUGCCCUAUGGGUUGUAAACUUCUUUUAUAAAGGAAUAAAACGAGGCACGUGUGCCUUUUUGCAUGUACUUUAUGAAUAAGGAUCGGCUAACUACGUGCCAGCAGCCGCGGUAAUACGUAGGGGGCGAGCGUUAUCCGGAUUUAUUGGGUUUAAAGGGAGCGUAGACGGCAUGAUAAGUCUGGAGUGAAAGCACGGGGCUUAACCCCGGAACUGCUUUGGAUACUGUGCGGCUGGAGUGCAGGAGGGGUAAGCGGAAUUCCUAGUGUAGCGGUGAAAUGCGUAGAUAUUAGGAGGAACACCGGUGGCGAAGGCGGCUUACUGGACUGUAACUGACGUGGAGGCUCGAAAGCGUGGGGAGCAAACAGGAUUAGAUACCCGAGUAGUC
This 460-nucleotide ribosomal RNA is filed under the name uncultured bacterium. RNAcentral describes it as "partial 16S ribosomal RNA". It matches the Rfam family "Bacterial small subunit ribosomal RNA", at positions 338 to 795 of the family's 1533-position model. The record is from RNAcentral.